UUAGUUAAAACCAAAAAAGAGGUACUCCACUGUUAAUGGAACCAUUGAAUAAACUCUAACUAAA
RNAcentral lists this transfer RNA (64 nucleotides) under Hylastes attenuatus. RNAcentral's name for it is "tRNA-Asn". Lineage: Eukaryota; Metazoa; Arthropoda; Insecta; Coleoptera; Curculionidae. The record is from RNAcentral.